AGUGAACGCUGGCGGUAGGCCUAACACAUGCAAGUCGAACGGCAGCACAGUAAGCGCUUGCUCUUACGGGUGGCGAGUGGCGGACGGGUGAGGAAUACAUCGGAAUCUACUUUUUCGUGGGGGAUAACGUAGGGACACUUACGCUAAUACCGCAUACGACCUACGGGUGAAAGCAGGGGAUCUUCGGACCUUUCGCGAUUGAAUGAGCCGGUGUCGGAUUAGCUAGUUGGCGGGGUAAAGGCCCACCAAGGCGACGAUCCGUAGCUGGUCUGAGAGGAUGAUCAGCCACACUGGAACUGAGACACGGUCCAGACUCCUACGGGAGGCAGCAGUGGGGAAUAUUGGACAAUGGGCGCAAGCCUGAUCCAGCCAUACCGCGUGGGUGAAGAAGGCCUUCGGGUUGUAAAGCCCUUUUGUUGGGAAAGAAAAGCAGCAGGUGAAUACCCCGCUGUUCUGACGGUACCCAAAGAAUAAGCACCGGCUAACUUCGUG
This 492-nucleotide ribosomal RNA is filed under the name uncultured bacterium. RNAcentral describes it as "partial 16S ribosomal RNA". It matches the Rfam family "Bacterial small subunit ribosomal RNA", at positions 29 to 507 of the family's 1533-position model. The record is from RNAcentral.